This 253-nucleotide ribosomal RNA is filed under the name uncultured bacterium. RNAcentral's name for it is "partial 16S ribosomal RNA". It matches the Rfam family "Bacterial small subunit ribosomal RNA", at positions 524 to 776 of the family's 1533-position model. The record is from RNAcentral.
UACGUAGGGCGCAAGCGUUAUCCGGAAUUAUUGGGCGUAAAGAGCUCGUAGGCGGUUUGUCGCGUCGGGAGUGAAAACCUUGGGCUUAACUCAGGGCUUGCUUUCGAUACGGGCAGACUAGAGGUAUGCAGGGGAGAACGGAAUUCCUGGUGUAGCGGUGAAAUGCGCAGAUAUCAGGAGGAACACCGGUGGCGAAGGCGGAUCUCUGGGCCGUAACUGACGCUGAGGAGCGAAAGCAUGGGGAGCGAACAGG